Long non-coding RNA from Xenopus laevis (African clawed frog), 583 nucleotides. RefSeq lists it as uncharacterized. The transcript is spliced from 3 exons. NCBI's taxonomy places the organism in Eukaryota, Metazoa, Chordata, Amphibia, Anura, Pipidae. The record is from RefSeq and is a predicted model, not a curated record.
GCUCUGUGUGAGAAAUGUGCUAUUGCCUCAGCUCCUGCGGGGAAGACAAUUUUGGACACUUGCCCUCAUCUUUCUAUUAGUGCCUAUCACUGGCAUCCUCAGGAAAUCAACGGGAAGAAAUUUGAAGGAAAUGGAUGUUGAAACCAUCCAAGUUCCCGAGCCAUAUUUCACUAUUUCACCUCUCAGUGCAGCAGAAGAAGGUUGUACGUUUAUCCAUUUCACAGCAGUGGUUUCUAACAAGUAGUAAAGAAAUCAUAUUAAAUAACAAGGUUUUAUCAGUGAGCCUGAAGGUUCGUCGUUCCUAUAGGAUACCAGACAGUAAUGAAGUUGUCUACAGGAUUCAUGCAGCAUCAGAUUAUACCAAAGAUGUCAAGUUGCCUUUUGUGGAACCAAGGUUUAGAACGGUAAAACCAAGAACAAUUCCCUGGCCGUAGAUGUUAGGAUUCUUAAAAGAUGUUUUCGUUAUCGCAAUACCAAGCUUAUUUAUCAGCUAAAGAGACCAUUUCAAUGGAUGUUGUCUAGUUGAAGCCAGGAAAACUGAUAGUAGUUGCCUGCUUGGCCCUGCAAACAAAUAGAUAGAUUU